AUGGCGUUCGCAAUGGCGAGGCGUCUGGGAGUCGUGCUGGCUUUAGCGGCUGUCGUCCUUCUCGCCGCCGCGGGGGCCGCCACCGCGCAAUCCAAGCCACGGCCACCCAAUGCCAAUGGCCCGAAGCCGAAGCCGAAUCCGAUAAGCGUCAAGUGCAGUGAGAGUCCCAGGGUAAACCCCUACUGCUCCAACCAGAGGAUGGACUGCCCCGCCAACUGCCCCCAGUCCUGCUACGCCGACUGCAAAUCAUGCAAACCCGUCUGCGUGUGCAACACCCCGGGGGCGUGCGGCGACCCGCGGUUCAUAGGCGGUGACGGCAACGCCUUCUACUUCCACGGACGCAGGGACGCCGACUUCUGCGUCGUCUCCGACCGUGACCUUCACAUCAACGCACACUUCAUCGGCAAGAGCGGCCACAGCGGCAUGUCCCGGGACUUCACCUGGAUCCAGGCCAUCGCCGUGCUCUUCGACGGCCACCGCCUCUACCUCGGCGCCAGGAAGACCGGCACCUGGGACGACGCUGUCGAGCAUCUAGAGAUCAUCCUGGACGGCGAGCCCGUGUACCUCCCCGCCGACCUGGUCGAAGGCGCCAAGUGGACCUCCAGCCGCGUCCCCGAGCUGUCUGUGACCCGCACCAAGGGGGCCAAUGGCGUGCUCGUCGCCCUCCACGGAAAGUUCAGCGUCAGGGCCAACGCCGUGCCCAUCACCGAGGAGGAUUCGAGGGUGCACCGUUACGGCGUCACCGCCGACGACUGCCUCGCGCACCUCGAGCUGGCGUUCAAGUUCGACGCGCUCACCGACGACGUCCACGGUGUGGUCGGACAGACGUACCGCUCCGACUACGUCAACCAUUUCGACGUGAGGGCCUCCAUGCCCACCAUGGGAGGAGAUGCCACCUUCACCACCUCCAGCCUGUUCGCCGCCGACUGCAGCGUGGCGCGCUAUGGAGUCAGCCGUGGAAACGACGGAGCCGCGGUGCUAUCUGAGCUCUCUGCUGUCACCUGUGCCAGUGGCAUGGACGGCAAGGGUGUCGUGUGCAAGAAGUAA
RNAcentral lists this ribosomal RNA (1047 nucleotides) under Triticum aestivum (bread wheat). RNAcentral's name for it is "partial small subunit ribosomal RNA". Lineage: Eukaryota; Viridiplantae; Streptophyta; Magnoliopsida; Poales; Poaceae. The record is from RNAcentral.